UCUUUACAAUGGACGUCUAGGAGCUUAUAUAAUGCUCAGAGACAAAGGUCCUAACGUUCUAAAACAAAUAGAAAAGGAAACAAAUCAAAACUAAGAAAGAAAUCGAAAACUAGCCGUUGGAGCCUUUUGUGGGAUUUUGGCUCCAAGUAAAGAAUCUGAUCUUUCUUGAACCUGGAUGGUUUAAGGGGAUAAGAGAGCUUUCUUGGGACCUUCUUGAAUGCUUGAUAGAUGCUUAUCUCGUCCUUUCCUUGGUAGAAAAAGAGCUGUUGGAGUUUGAAUGCAAGAGACUCCAAAUAAGGCAGUUCGGUGAUAAUGGGGAUCUUCUUAUUCCUAUGUGGGCUGGUGCAUGGGAUGAAGUUGUAGAACUCUUCUGGCUCGUGUAUAAUGUCUCCUGGAUGUCUUGGUUUA
This 408-nucleotide long non-coding RNA is filed under the name Brassica napus (rape). RNAcentral's name for it is "long non-coding RNA (BNAP_LNC025152)". Lineage: Eukaryota; Viridiplantae; Streptophyta; Magnoliopsida; Brassicales; Brassicaceae. The record is from RNAcentral.